This 301-nucleotide ribosomal RNA is filed under the name uncultured bacterium. RNAcentral's name for it is "partial 16S ribosomal RNA". It matches the Rfam family "Bacterial small subunit ribosomal RNA", at positions 509 to 807 of the family's 1533-position model. The record is from RNAcentral.
CAGCAGCCGCGGUAAUACGUAGGUGGCAAGCGUUGUCCGGAAUUAUUGGGCGUAAAGGGCUCGCAGGCGGUUUCCUAAGUCUGAUGUGAAAGCCCCCGGCUCAACCGGGGAGGGUCAUUGGAAACUGGGAAACUUGAGUGCAGAAGAGGAGAGUGGAAUUCCACGUGUAGCGGUGAAAUGCGUAGAGAUGUGGAGGAACACCAGUGGCGAAGGCGACUCUCUGGUCUGUAACUGACGCUCAUGCACGAAAGCGUGGGGAGCAAACAGGAUUAGAUACCCCGGUAGUCCCUGUCUCUUAUAC